Molecule: long non-coding RNA, 2780 nt
Filed under: Nicotiana tabacum (common tobacco)
Lineage: Eukaryota; Viridiplantae; Streptophyta; Magnoliopsida; Solanales; Solanaceae
Description: long non-coding RNA (NTAB_LNC018341)
Source: RNAcentral
ACUCCCAAAACCUGGUAGAAAUAAGUCACAAGCCUCUAAGAAUUUAUCCUCAAUGUAUCUAUAUAUAUCAGGAUCUAAGAAAAAUAAGGAAGCAACAUAAUAAUGAUAGAAGGGGACUCUAGAGUCUGCGGACGCUGGCAGAUAUACCUCGAAAUCUCCGUACACAGGUAGCUUACUGAUGUUUGGACUGGCAGGAUGUACCUGGAUCUGCACAAAAAGAUGUACAGAAGCGUAGUAUAAGUACACCACAGCGGUACCCAAUAAGUUUCAAGCCUAACCUUGGUAGAGUAGUGACGAGGUCAGGUCAGGCCCUACUGGAUUAAUAAAAGACAAGGUAAAAUGUUUAACAAUAUAAUAAAAUGAAAUGAGAAUGGAAAUGAAUCAAGUAAGUAGUAUGUCACCAAUUAACUAUGCAAAAUAACGGCAAAUAAUACCUCAAGGAAACAAAACAGAAUUCUUUUCAACUUUAAGAAAAUCACAACAAUAAUCAAAGGCAAUUGCGGCCAUAAAUCAAUAUCAAUAACGGCACUCCCGAGGUACCGCCUCGUAGUCCUAAAUCAUAAAUAAAAUUUAUAAUAUCUCAUUUUCUUAUAUCACCGCGGGAGCCUUCACAUUUAAUUUUAAAGAAAAUAUUUUUUGAUACGUUGCCUCAGUUCCAAAUUUAAAAUAUCAAAUACUUCAUAUUAAUAAUAUUUAAAUUAAAGAAAUUCCACCUUCAAAUAAUGCACAGAAUAAAAGAAACUAAGUUUCAGCUAAAUAGGUAAAAACAAUUAGCAAGAGAAAGUCAAGCAAAUUUAAAGUAUAUAAAUCAGAUCAAUGAUGGAGAAUAUAACAAAAUAAAAUAAUUUAAUUAAUAUACAACAGUAAUCUACACAAUUUAAAAAUAUAAUCUUCCACAUUUAGCCCGUGUAUACACUCGUCACCUCGUGUACACGACUUGCAACACAUUACAAUUAUUACAUCAAUACCAAUCCUAGGGGAAUUUCCCCCACACAAGGUUAGACAAGUCACCUACCUCGACUUGCUCCAAUUUAAUCAAGUAGUAUGCAUUUUCCUCGAUUUUCUAACUCCGAUCGACUCGAAUCUAGUCAUAAUUAAUUCGAUACAGUCAACAAAAAUUAUAGAAUCAAUUCCAUAAGAAAAUACUAUAUUUUCAAUAAAAAUCCGAAAUUAACUAAAAAAAUCGCUCGUGGGGCCCACGUCUUGAAAUCCGGCGAAAGUUACGAAAUAUGAAUGUGCAUUCAACCACGAGUCUAGCCAUACCAAAAUGACUAAAUUUCGAUGACAAUUCGACCCUCAAAUCCUCAAAUUUAUCCAAGAGGGUUUUCGUGAUCGCGAAAAAGGUUUGAAACACCAAAAAACAGCAGCUACCAGCAGUGCCAAAAUGAAGGGAAAUAAUCCGAAUACCAUCUGAAACACGUUCGAGCCCCUCGGGACCUCAACCAAAUAUACCAACAAGCCCUAAUACAUCAUACGAACUUAAUCGAGUCUUCAAAUCACAUCCAACAACACUAAAAUGAUGAAAUUCACAAAAGUCAAACUUGGUCAACUCUUCCAACUUAAAGCUUAAAUGAUGAAAUUCAUUCUUUCAAAUCGAUUUCGAAUAACCUGAAAACCAAAACCGACGAUUCACAUAAGUCAUAAUACAUCAUACGGAGCUACUCAUGCCCUCAAACUAUUGAGCGAAGUACAAGUGCUCGAAACGACCGGUCGGGUCUUACAUCAAGCCAGCAACCCCUUCUAUAAAUUUAUCCCGCAAGCCCGUACAAUUCAGAUGAUUCCUAUUAUACAUCUAUCUACGAUGCCCAAAUUCCAUCUACACAAAAAUAUUAAAUAUUAUUUCAUUUAAAGGUUCUUAUUUUGAAAGGUUAAAUAGCAUUACACAAUAAGCUAAUUUUUAAGAAUCCAAUUUUAAAUAAUUUAAUUUCUAAGGCUUCUAUUUGUAUAGGUAUAAAAGUAGAAAUAUUAGCUUAGUGUUACUUAUCCUCUUGUCAUAUUCUCGGAAAUCUUUUUUACUAAAGUGAUUGUGAUUCAUUAGAUCGUGCUUCGUCAAAUUGCACCAACUAUUUUUUUUUUAUUACUAUCAUUUAUGAAUAUUUUUACUAAGAGGAAGAGAGGUAAAAGGAAAACUUAAAGUCUAUAAGGUUGCUCCCAAUCUUGAUUCCAACUACAAUCGACGAGUUUUAAAUUUUUAACCCAACUAAGCAACUUUUAGGUGUGCUAUUAGAACUACAAAAUAUUUAUGAGAAAUACAAAAUUUAAAUGUGCUAUGAAAAAUACAUAAUUUUUAACCCAACUAAUCAAUUUUAUGAUUUCAAAACAAAUAAAUCAUUAAAUAUACUACGAGAAAUAUAAAAUUGAAAAUCAAUCUAUUUUCUAUCAUAAAUUUCUAAAUACUUGAAUAAAUUUAAUAAAUUUAAUAAAUUUUUUACUAACCUUGCAAUCGGACCACUACAAUACCGCCACUGAAUGUAGAGGAAGACAAUGUCGCCGGAGUCCACCGCCGCCGUUGCUGCUACACACCACUGUUGCCCGCUACUAAAAAAAUUGAAAUAGGAAAAUGAGAAGAAGAGGAGAGGACGAGGGAUAAAGAGAAGGAGAGCAAGAAUUGCAUUACCUUUAUCUGCAAUGGCACCUGCCGUGGAGGGUUCCACCGUGGGGUGGGAUGGGGGAGGAGUUGGGAGGAAAGGAAAAAACAAAUAGUGAAAGAGGCCAAAUAAAAUAUUUUCGGGGGAAAGCAAUCGCACAAGCGGGUCAACGAAGUCAAACGUGUCAGGCGG